This 24-nucleotide non-coding RNA is filed under the name Cricetulus griseus (Chinese hamster). Lineage: Eukaryota; Metazoa; Chordata; Mammalia; Rodentia; Cricetidae. The record is from RNAcentral.
GUAGAAACUCAUGAAGAAUGUUGU